RNAcentral lists this long non-coding RNA (1434 nucleotides) under Oryctolagus cuniculus (rabbit). Its description in RNAcentral is "lncRNA (ENSOCUG00000035899.1)". The record is from RNAcentral. Lineage: Eukaryota; Metazoa; Chordata; Mammalia; Lagomorpha; Leporidae.
CAACUUUACCAACAGGCAGAGUCACUGGCCUGUCUUACCCUGCACCCUGAACCAACUGCCCACACCCCCUCUGAUCUGGGUCCAGGGUAGGGAGAGGCCAGGGACAGGCUUGGCUUUGGGUUCUCUGGCCCCUGGUGGACGUGGCCUUGGGCAGAAAGGUUGAGUGGUGCUUUUGGAGCUAUGUUCCCAUUUCUUUCCUAAAUUAGUUCUGGCUCGGGGUUCCGUACACAAUAGAUUCAGUACCUGGUUGCUGAAUGAAUGAAUGAAUGAAUGGGAGAGGGUACACCAGGGAGCAGGGUUUGACGUGGCCAGUGGGCUUGGGGAGUGUGGCUUGCCGAGCUGCUGUUUACGGGAAGGGAGGGGAGGCGAGCAGGACGCUGGCCCCUCUCUGACCACGCUCGCAGCUGCAGCAGCAGCGAGGGAUUUCAAAGCCUCCUCCUUGCAUGUGUGUGGCAGUGGUGCUGCUGGCUUCCCCAGGGCAGAGUUCAGGAGGAGUCCACGAGAGGCCUGAACUAUGUUUCUCCGGCCUGUCUGGCUGCUUCUCACGCCUCUCCGACCAGAGCUGGGAUGCAUGGAUCCAUGAUAGCUUCUGCCUCAGCCUUUCCCUGCUCUCAUCAUUCCUGCCAUCCUCCAUCCAACCCCGAGGGUCCUCCCAGACUGCUCAUCUACCCCCCAACCACUCCCCUGAACACACGUCCCUGGUGUUGGAAAUCCCCACAGAAUUCAUGCCCCAAAGCCGUGGUUAUCAUCUCGAUGUCGCAUAGGAGGAAAUGAAGGCCGAGGACUCCAGAGAUUCGUCCAAGCUCAAGGUCAACCAGUGACAAAGUCGGAGCUGAACCCAGAUCCCAUGCUGGGUGGUGGGAAGAGUGAUUUGGCUUUGACGGCUCUAGUACAGGACGGCUUGCUCUGCCACCUGCCACCCUCCAUCGAAUCCCCUCCGAGGGUCCUCCCAGGACUGCUCCUCCACCCCUAACUAAUGUCCUAAUACUGGGCCUCUGCCUCAUCAGCGUUCCCUGCCACCCGACACUCUGGGUGCGGCACCAUUUUAAUGCACGGCUCCUGUCUUUCAGGAGCCCUUGCUUGGUUGAAGCAAUCAGACCACUCACACACAGAAAGGGAUCCCACAGAGCAGAACGCAGGAAGCGCUCCUGGUGCGUGGAAGGCGUGAGUAGGGCCUGGCAGCUCAAUGGCUUCUGGGGGAAGGUGGCGCCCACUCUGGGCUGGUGAAGAAGACGGGCCGCCAGGAAGCAGCGCAGGGGAAGCCGGGCAUUCGGGCCACGGCAAACAUGUUUAUUAUUACUCCUAUUUCACAAAGUGAACAUGAGACCCAUGACUAACUCUCUGAGGAAUGGGCGGGUGAGGACUCCGAGGAGAGGGGACGGGGGAAGGCAGGUGUCUCAGCAGCCAAGGGAGGCGCCCGUUUCAAGGAGGAGG